GGGUUUGAGGCAGUUGCGUUGGUUUUGCAAAAACCAAAGUGGGGGUACCCCAAACCUU
This 58-nucleotide transfer RNA is filed under the name Khawia sinensis. Its description in RNAcentral is "tRNA-Cys". Lineage: Eukaryota; Metazoa; Platyhelminthes; Cestoda; Caryophyllidea; Lytocestidae. The record is from RNAcentral.